This 76-nucleotide transfer RNA is filed under the name Azonexus sp. RNAcentral's name for it is "tRNA-Arg". It matches the Rfam family "tRNA". From Rfam's summary of the family: Transfer RNA (tRNA) molecules are approximately 80 nucleotides in length. Their secondary structure includes four short double-helical elements and three loops (D, anti-codon, and T loops). Lineage: Bacteria; Pseudomonadati; Pseudomonadota; Betaproteobacteria; Rhodocyclales; Azonexaceae. The record is from RNAcentral.
CUCGCCCAAGCUCAAUGGGAUGAGCAUCGGAUUACGAAUCCGGGGGAUGCAGGUUCGAAUCCUGCGGGCGAGGCCA